RNAcentral lists this ribosomal RNA (305 nucleotides) under uncultured bacterium. RNAcentral describes it as "bacterial SSU rRNA". It matches the Rfam family "Bacterial small subunit ribosomal RNA", at positions 335 to 657 of the family's 1533-position model. The record is from RNAcentral.
AUCCUACGGGGCGCAGCAGUGGGGAAUAUUGCACAAUGGGGGAAACCCUGAUGCAGCAACGCCGCGUGAAGGAAGACGGUUUUCGGAUUGUAAACUUCUGUUCUUAGUGAAGAAGAAUGACGGUAGCUAAGGAGCAAGCCACGGCUAACUACGUGCCAGCAGCCGCGGUAAUACGUAGGUGGCAAGCGUUAUCCGGAUUUAUUGGGUGUAAAGGGCGUGUAGGCGGGAAAGCAAGUCAGAUGUGAAAACUCAGGGCUCAACCCUGAGCCUGCAUUUGAAACUGCUUUUCUUGAGUGCUGGAGAGG